RNAcentral lists this unclassified non-coding RNA (244 nucleotides) under uncultured Helotiales. Its description in RNAcentral is "sequence contains 5.8S rRNA gene". The stretch from base 1 to 53 matches the Rfam family "5.8S ribosomal RNA", at positions 102 to 154 of the family's 154-position model. Lineage: Eukaryota; Fungi; Ascomycota; Leotiomycetes; Helotiales. The record is from RNAcentral.
GAACGCACAUUGCGCCCUGUGGCAUUCCGCAGGGCAUGCCUGUUCGAGCGUCAGUACAACACUCAAGCCUAGCUUGGUCUUGGGCCUCGCCGGAGACGGCGGGCCUUUAAAAUCAGUGGCGGCGCCUCUCGGGCCCUAAGCGUAGUAAUACUUCUCGCUACAGGGACCCGGUGGACGCUGGCCAGCAACCCCCAACUUUCUAAGUUUGACCUCGGAUCAGGUAGGGAUACCCGCUGAACUUAAG